Molecule: ribosomal RNA, 253 nt
Filed under: uncultured prokaryote
Description: partial 16S ribosomal RNA
Rfam family: Bacterial small subunit ribosomal RNA
Source: RNAcentral
UACAGAGGGUGCAAGCGUUAAUCGGAAUUACUGGGCGUAAAGCGCGCGUAGGUGGUUCAGCAAGUUGGAUGUGAAAGCCCUGGGCUCAACCUGGGAACUGCAUCCAAAGCUACUGAGCUAGAGUACGGUAGAGGGUAGUGGAAUUUCCUGUGUAGCGGUGAAAUGCGUAGAUAUAGGAAGGAACACCGGUGGCGAAGGCGGCCAACUGGACGAAGACUGACGCUGAGACACGAAAGCGUGGGGAGCAAACAGG